Molecule: long non-coding RNA, 1991 nt
Filed under: Homo sapiens (human)
Lineage: Eukaryota; Metazoa; Chordata; Mammalia; Primates; Hominidae
Description: HSALNT0094907
Source: RNAcentral
AUUCAGAUGCACAUUAAAAUUCGAGAAACAUUAGUAGUUUCUUUAACCCUUAACUUGCUUGGCUGUGAAAUGGGAAUAAUAACUGCUAACUUACAGGGUUGUUGUGAGGUUUAAAAAGGCAACACACUCAAAGUAUCUACCACAGUACAGAGCACAUAGGGGAUAUUUUUAUUGUUUCUGCCUGAUGAAUGCUGUCUUAGGAGGGGGCGGGAGUCUGCCGUGGCCCACAUUAAGAGUUCUGGGGUCUGCUCCAGCGCUCCAGUGAGCCCUGGGGCACUGUAGUGGAGCAGGCUUAGCAGCCCACAGAAGGAAGAGUAAGGGAGGGGAAACAGAAUCUCAGCAUGGCUCAGGUUUUAGUAGGUCUUAUGAUCUCUUUCCAAUUUUUAAGGGGCCUUAAUCACUGAGGACAAGUGUAUGCUGACCUGUAAUGCUGGGGCUUCCUGAGCCAGCCCAUCAAUGAAGGACUGUGCCAUCAGGGCCCACCUGGAUCUUCCUCACAUGAUGAAGUUCAUUAUAUGAAUUAGGUGAAAUUCACAGAGCUUCAGUCAAUUUAUGCAUGAUCAAGCUGUGGAACAGGAAAGUGGUGGCUGUUUGGAUUGGGCAUUUUUGUGUUAAUUAAACAUUAGCGCUGACUAAUAACUCCAUCCAACACAUGGAACAUAUCACAUUUGUGAGAACUUACUUUGCAUAGACCAUUUCAUUUUAUACUGGCUUAUUUAGUUUUUGAAAAUCAUGACGAAACUGUACACUGAGAUCCAUUUGGAGGUAGGGGGCGAUUUAUCAGCAUUUCCGCAAGAUAGCUCCCAUGUAGUGAUGCCUUUUCCUCUCAGAAUUCCCAGACUCAGUUGCUGCUGGAAAGAGAGGACCUACAAGUCUGCCUGGCCUGCAGGCUGCUCCCCUGGGGGCAGGGAUCGAACGGAGACAUCUUUCUGCUUAUCCCGGGUCUGCUCUCAUCAGAUCAUACCAGCCCAUAAGGGCAGGUAACCAAGCGGGAAUGAUGUUGAUUCAAUGACACCAGCUUCAAUUUCUAACCUUCAGGCCUUGCUCCCAGACAAAUUAGAUUAGGGUUGCUCCUAAAGCCACUCUGGCACACGAUGGAAAAGCCUUGCCCAGGGAGACACAUACGCGCACUGGCAAAAGGCAUGUGAGUCCUUCAGUGACAUGGCCUGAGGUUGGCUCAGCCUAGGAUUGAGAUUUGGGGACCCUGGGCAACACACAGGCAUUACUGGCAGGGAUAGGAGUCAGUGGCCAAGGUGGGGCUAGUUGCCAGGGUGGUUUCUGCUGUGCAGUCUCAACUCAGGACAUACUUAGAGAUUGGAAUUGCCAGUAAGGUGGGCAGACCAGGGCACAGGAAGCCACAGCAGGGCACUGUUCUUAGAGCAGGCUCAGCCCCAGGGGCAUCUAAGUACAGGAUUUGCCUUCCAGGACCUUAUAAUCCAAUAGGAGAGAUUAAACUCACAGCAACAAAGAGUCCAGAUAAGUGCGGUUGUUGCCACAGUGAGUCAGCAUCAGCUCUAGCCUUAAUUCUCAGAUCAGAGCAUGGGGAUAGUGGAGAGAGGAUGAAAUCAGAAGGUGAAGUGUUGAACUUGUUUUUACCUAGCAUUAUUGAAGGUACAUGCAAAAACAUGCAAUAAACUGCACAUACUUAAAUGAAUAUUUUAUAUAUUUUGUCAUACGUUUAUACCUGUUAAAUCAACAGCACAAACAAGAUAAUAAAAUCUGUCACCCCCAAAAGUUUCCUUAUGCCUUUUGGAAAUUCUCCCUUUCAUCUCUCCCUGCUCCCAAUCCCCAGGUAAUCACCAAUCAGCUUUCUGUCAUUGUGGAAUAGUUUGCAUUUUCUAGAAUUUCACAUAAAUAGACUCAAACAGUAUAUACUCUCUUUUGUCAGACUUCUUUCAUUUAGCAUAAUUAUUUUUAUUUUCCCCCAGGUUGUUGCAUAAAUCAACAGUUCAUUCCUUCUUAUUGCUGAGUUGUGUUCUCCUGCAUACCAC